AGAGUUUGAUCCUGGCUCAGAAUGAACGUUGGCGGCGUGGAUUAGGCAUGCAAGUCGAGCGAGAACCCAGCAAUGGGGGACAGCGGCGAAAGGGACAGUAAUGUGUAGAUCAUCUGCCCUCAGGUCCGGGAUAGCUGCGGGAAACUGCAGGUAAUACCGGAUAACAUCUCCGGAUCAAAGGUGUGAUUCCGCCUGAGGAUGAGUCUACAUCCUAUUAGCUAGUUGGUAGGGUAAUGGCCUACCAAGGCUUUGAUGGGUAGCGGGUGUGAGAGCACGACCCGCGUCAUUGGGACUGAGACACUGCCCAGACACCUACGGGUGGCUGCAGUCGAGAAUCUUCGGCAAUGGGCGCAAGCCUGACCGAGCGACGCCGCGUGCGGGAUGAAGGCCUUCGGGUUGUAAACCGCUGUCAGAGGGGAUGAAAUGCAGGUGGGUUCUCCCAUCUGUUUGACAUAGCCUCAGAGGAAGGACGGGCUAAGUUCGUGCCAGCAGCCGCGGUAAGACGAACCGUCCAAACGUUAUUCGGAAUCACUGGGCUUAAAGGGUGCGUAGGCGGCGCGGAAAGUUGGGUGUGAAAUCCCUCGGCUCAACCGAGGAACUGCGCCCAAAACUACCGUGCUCGAGGGAGAUAGAGGUGAGCGGAACUUAGGGUGGAGCGGUGAAAUGCGUUGAUAUCCUAAGGAACACCGGUGGCGAAAGCGGCUCACUGGAUCUCUUCUGACGCUGAGGCACGAAAGCUAGGGUAGCAAACGGGAUUAGAUACCCCGGUAGU
RNAcentral lists this ribosomal RNA (772 nucleotides) under uncultured bacterium. RNAcentral's name for it is "bacterial SSU rRNA". It matches the Rfam family "Bacterial small subunit ribosomal RNA", at positions 8 to 794 of the family's 1533-position model. The record is from RNAcentral.